GAUGAACGCUGGCGGCGUGCUUAACACAUGCAAGUCGAACGAAGCACUUUAUUUGAUUUCCUUCGGGACUGAUUAUUUUGUGACUGAGUGGCGGACGGGUGAGUAACGCGUGGGUAACCUGCCUUGUACAGGGGGAUAACAGUUGGAAACGGCUGCUAAUACCGCAUAAGCGCACAGCAUCGCAUGAUGCAGUGUGAAAAACUCCGGUGGUAUAAGAUGGACCCGCGUUGGAUUAGCUAGUUGGUGAGGUAACGGCCCACCAAGGCGACGAUCCAUAGCCGACCUGGGAGGGUGCCCGGCCACAUUGGGACUGAGACACGGCCCAAACUCCUACGGGAGGCAGCAGUGGGGAAUAUUGCACAAUGGGCGAAAGCCUGAUGCAGCGACGCCGCGUGAGCGAAGAAGUAUUUCGGUAUGUAAAGCUCUAUCAGCAGGGAAGAUAAUGACGGUACCUGACUAAGAAGCACCGGCUAAAUACGUG
This 481-nucleotide ribosomal RNA is filed under the name uncultured bacterium. RNAcentral describes it as "partial 16S ribosomal RNA". It matches the Rfam family "Bacterial small subunit ribosomal RNA", at positions 28 to 507 of the family's 1533-position model. The record is from RNAcentral.